GGCUGGGUCUCAUGCAAUACGGCGCUGUUAACCCCGUCAGGCCCGGAAGGGAGCAGCGGUACACGGUACGCCGUAUGUGUAUGGUAAGGCCCAGCCUCU
This 99-nucleotide signal recognition particle RNA is filed under the name Deltaproteobacteria bacterium. Its description in RNAcentral is "signal recognition particle sRNA small type". It matches the Rfam family "Bacterial small signal recognition particle RNA". Rfam says of the family: The signal recognition particle (SRP) is a universally conserved ribonucleoprotein involved in the co-translational targeting of proteins to membranes. Lineage: Bacteria; Pseudomonadati; Myxococcota; Myxococcia. The record is from RNAcentral.